This 253-nucleotide ribosomal RNA is filed under the name uncultured prokaryote. Its description in RNAcentral is "partial 16S ribosomal RNA". It matches the Rfam family "Bacterial small subunit ribosomal RNA", at positions 524 to 776 of the family's 1533-position model. The record is from RNAcentral.
UACAGAGGGUGCAAGCGUUAAUCGGAUUUACUGGGCGUAAAGCGUGCGUAGGCGGUUCGCUAAGUCGGUUGUGAAAUCCCUCGGCUUAACCGAGGAACUGCCUGUCAAACUGCAUGGCUUGAGACCAGGAGAGGUGAGUGGAAUUCCCAGUGUAGCGGUGAAAUGCGUAGAUAUUGGGAGGAACACCAGUGGCGAAGGCGGCUCACUGGACUGGUACUGACGCUGAUGCGCGAAAGCGUGGGGAGCAAACAGG